UUUUUUUUAAGAAUCUAUUAAAUUUUUUAUAUUUAUUACAUUCGCCAUAAAAAUAAAAAACUCAUAUAAUAUAAAAGAAUUGAAAACUUUCACUCUCAAAAGUAAACGUUCUUGUCACUUAAUCUAAACUUUAAAUGUAAAUAUACUCAAUUUCAAUUAAUAUGUGAAAGCAACUUCUAUAGAGUUGUAAAUUAGAAAACUAUUUUAUUUUUUUC
RNAcentral lists this long non-coding RNA (215 nucleotides) under Ricinus communis (castor bean). RNAcentral describes it as "long non-coding RNA (RCOM_LNC002462)". The record is from RNAcentral. Lineage: Eukaryota; Viridiplantae; Streptophyta; Magnoliopsida; Malpighiales; Euphorbiaceae.